RNAcentral lists this long non-coding RNA (564 nucleotides) under Salarias fasciatus (jewelled blenny). RNAcentral's name for it is "lncRNA (ENSSFAG00005009058.1)". Lineage: Eukaryota; Metazoa; Chordata; Actinopteri; Blenniiformes; Blenniidae. The record is from RNAcentral.
AAAGCAGUGGCUCCCAAACCUUUUUGCCUGUGACCCAAAGGGGAAUUAUGACAUUUGCCAGGACCCAAACUAGUGAAAACAACAGAUCUACAAGCCCACAACACAUCAUGAAAUAAAUUGGCUGUGCCGUUCUUUGGCUUCCAUCUUAACUUUUUAUUUUGGCAUCUCUCUACUCAGGGCAGUUUCUUCUGCUUGACACAGUUUCUUCUCAUUGACUUGCACUACCCUGUAAAUAUCUGUCGCAUAUCUAUAGUUAUGUAUCUUCUCCCUCAGACGAAAGGAGGUCGUUGCUGAAGAUGUGCAUGUCUCCACAAUCAGCCAGAGAUGGCCAGCCCUAUUCUUGUUGGAUCAGGUACAUGCAGAAUUCAAAAGAGUAACAGGAAAAGAAUUGAUGGAAACGUUCUUCCCCUCCUUGGAUGAGCACACCAGAGCUCCGCACCGCAGCUCACCACCCCACUCAAGUGACACUAAGGAGUCUGUUGGAGUACCGAGACGAGCAGACCACAGAGAUCGUUAAACAUCGGAGGGUGGUGGCUGUCAAAGGGCUGCAGUAUUACCUGGGGG